UACAGGAAGUUGAUUCAUCACCCAUCCACAGUUUUUUCCUUUUUGGAAUCCAUUGAACUGAAAAAAGCUACAUGUGAGCUGAAAGUAUGAAAAUAACAUAUCUUUGAAAGAAUAAAGAACUAGCUUUAACAUAUCUAUGAAAGAAUACACCUCCGAGGAACUAGCUUUGAACAUAUCUCUGAAAGAAUAGAGAGCAUGCAAAGUUCAAGGAAAGAAUAAGCAAAAUGGCACACUAGUACGCAGUAGUACGAGUCCAGUCAUGUACGUGCUAGUAUUAGAUUUGAAUAGUAGCUAGAAUUGAAGUUCAGGUAACCAUGGCACACACAUCAUACAGUUUCAGUCAUGUAUGCACACACUGUAAUAGUAGCUGCAAUUAAAGUUCAAAUAACCACGACACCCAUAACAGAACAAGAAUCAGUCUAGCAGCUAGGCAAGGAAGCUUCAUCAGCAUGAAUACAUAGCGGCAAGCUAGAACACGCUAGUAGGCUGUAGAAGUCUCCUUGUAAUUUUUCAAACAAAAGUACUUUAGUUCAGUUCAGUAGUAAGGCAUGGAAAAAAGAAAAGCAAUAGAAUAAACUAUAACCGAGCCAAAUAUGUAAUUUCAACAAACUAGACCUCAUUGCUUGACUUCAGUAGUAAUACACGAUCAUCAGUUCAAUAUAAACAGACUGAUGUUAACAUCACCAAUAUGCUGUCCGUCCAACCUCCCUCGGGCUGCAGUUCCAAUAGGAAACAAAUUAGUAAGAUGAAGAGCAUUAGAGAGGAAAGAGAUAGAACGGGUGCAUGGACUGCCGCUGGUUUUCUCAUUGAACCACAGCUGAAGAAACUCCUACAGGCUACAGGUCGUAAUGAAGAGAAAACGGAGAUGAUGUUGUGUGGCGGCGGCG
Molecule: long non-coding RNA, 887 nt
Filed under: Triticum aestivum (bread wheat)
Lineage: Eukaryota; Viridiplantae; Streptophyta; Magnoliopsida; Poales; Poaceae
Description: long non-coding RNA (TAES_LNC002204)
Source: RNAcentral